This 422-nucleotide ribosomal RNA is filed under the name uncultured bacterium. Its description in RNAcentral is "SSU rRNA". It matches the Rfam family "Bacterial small subunit ribosomal RNA", at positions 1 to 444 of the family's 1533-position model. The record is from RNAcentral.
UGGAAUUCGCCCUUAGAGUUUGAUCCUGGCUCAGAACGAACGCUGGCGGCAGGCCUAACACAUGCAAGUCGAGCGAGGUAGCAAUACCUAGCGGCGGACGGGUGAGUAACGCGUGGGAACGUACCUUUUGCUACGGAAUAGCCCUGGGAAACUGGGAGUAAUACCGUAUACGCCCUGAGGGGGAAAGAUUUAUCGGCAAAAGAUCGGCCCGCGUUGGAUUAGGUAGUUGGUGGGGUAAUGGCCUACCAAGCCGACGAUCCAUAGCUGGUUUGAGAGGAUGAUCAGCCACACUGGGACUGAGACACGGCCCAGACUCCUACGGGAGGCAGCAGUGGGGAAUCUUAGACAAUGGGGGCAACCCUGAUCUAGCCAUGCCGCGUGAGUGAUGAAGGCCUUAGGGUUGUAAAGCUCUUUCAGUGGGG